Chiroxiphia lanceolata (lance-tailed manakin) is the source of this 599-nucleotide long non-coding RNA. RefSeq lists it as uncharacterized. The transcript has 3 exons. Lineage: Eukaryota; Metazoa; Chordata; Aves; Passeriformes; Pipridae. The record is from RefSeq and is a predicted model, not a curated record.
UCUCACAAAACUGUUUUCAGUAUCAAAAAAGAAAAAAACCUACGUGGAAUAUAAAACUUCUGUUGUUAGCAUUUUCUCAAGAAGUGGGACAAUACAAAAAAAACAUGAAGAGAAAGCAGACUGCUGCAUGCUUUGCAGAAGACAGACUUCCCUGUCAGGUGACUCUGGACAGGAGCUUAGCCCCAGUAGCCUUGUUAUUCUUCCAGAAGAGCCUGUUCUUUCUCCUGGUGAAAUAAGGAGUCAAAAAAGGGGCUCCACCAAACAGAACCGAACCAAACUUUGACAGCUGUUCGAAGAAUCUCCUUUCAUUCCUGAUCUUCUCCACAUUCAAAUCAUUUUAUGGAAGAGAAAAUGCAUGAAAAAUUAAAAUGGUAAUGUGACAGACUGACAAUGAAAUGUCUAGUUGUAAGUUCUGAGGUAUCUUUGACACCUGGAUACUCGCUGAUCAGAUUAUCACCUUCCCCUGUAAUAUAUUUUCUGUGUUUCAUUAACCUCAAUCCAAGUGGACCAAACUAUGGCACUAUCACUCAUAGAAGAUAAUAGUUGUGAGAAAAAUGUCAUUGUGGUUCUUCCUUUAGAUGAGCCUAAGUAGUCCUCUA